Molecule: transfer RNA, 68 nt
Filed under: Marmota monax (woodchuck)
Lineage: Eukaryota; Metazoa; Chordata; Mammalia; Rodentia; Sciuridae
Description: tRNA.Ala
Source: RNAcentral
GUUGCGGCUCAGAGGUAGAGUGCUCGCCUAGCACAUUCGAGGCCCUGGGUUCGACUCUCAGCACAACA